AUACGUAGGUGACAAGCGUUAUCCGGAUUUACUGGGCGUAAAGGGCGUGUAGGCGGUCUUGCAAGUCAGAAGUGAAAUUCCUGAGCUCAACUCGGGCGCUGCUUCUGAAACUGCAGGACUUGAGUGCUGGAGGGGAUAGCGGAAUUCCUAGUGGAGCGGUAAAAUGCGAAGAUAUUAGGAAGAACACCGGUGGCGAAGGCGGCUAUCUGGACAGUAACUGGCGCUGAGGCGCGAAAGCGUGGGGAGCAAACAGGAUUAGAUACCCGGGUAGUCCACGCCGUAAACGAUGAAUACUAGGUGUAGGGGGUAUCGACUCCCUCUGUGCCGCAGUUAACACAAUAAGUAUUCCGCCUGGGGAGUACGGCCGCAAGGAUGAAACUCAAAGGAAUUGACGGGG
This 397-nucleotide ribosomal RNA is filed under the name uncultured bacterium. RNAcentral's name for it is "partial 16S ribosomal RNA". It matches the Rfam family "Bacterial small subunit ribosomal RNA", at positions 523 to 918 of the family's 1533-position model. The record is from RNAcentral.